GUUUGAGGGAAGGGGCCUUUGAUUUUCCUCUGGUAGUUUCCCCAAUCUGGAUUUACAUUGAUAUUGCCACAUGAGGAAAAGAGAAGGAAUCUGUGAAAUGAGGCUAUGAUGGUCCACAGCAAAAUGCCUCCUGAUCUGGUGUUCGGAGUCUUGGUUGCUUUACUUCAGUCUGUUUUCACCCAGAAUAACCCCAAUGAUAUUUAUAUUUUCAAUAAAAUACAUGACAUUGUGUUCCAUGGACCAAUCAAUCCUGGAAGUGGCCCCGCUGCCUGGUGCUGGACAUCACAUUCCGGGCAAGGAAUGCAACAGCUGAUAGGUUUACGGAGAGAUAAUUCCGGUCCGUGGAUGCAACAUUUGAACCCUGAAUUCAGACAUUUUGAGUUGUUCCACACCAUGAAAUGCGAUGAUGGUACUGUACAUCUGAGGAUAAGCAGUCCCACAUUUAAGUUUGCAGGAUCCCUCAUCUUGGCACAAACAUCGCCGGGUUAUAAAAUCCUGAAACAGUACGAAAUAUUUGGUA
Long non-coding RNA from Amblyraja radiata (thorny skate), 520 nucleotides. RefSeq lists it as uncharacterized. The transcript has 3 exons. Lineage: Eukaryota; Metazoa; Chordata; Chondrichthyes; Rajiformes; Rajidae. The record is from RefSeq and is a predicted model, not a curated record.